Molecule: ribosomal RNA, 486 nt
Filed under: uncultured bacterium
Lineage: Bacteria
Description: partial 16S ribosomal RNA
Rfam family: Bacterial small subunit ribosomal RNA
Source: RNAcentral
ACUCAAAUGAAUAGACGGGGACUCACACAAGUAGUGGACCAUGUGGCUUAAUUCGACAACAAGCGUAGAACCUUACCAGGUCUAGAAAUCCAUUCGAAUGCCAGCAGAAACGUUGGCAGCCGCAAGGCGGAUGGACAGGUGCUGCAUGGUUGUCGUCAGUUCGUGUCUUGAGACGUUCCCUUAAUUGGGGUAACGAACGCAACCCUUGCUCUGUGUUUUAUAUGUCACAGAGGACUGCCCGAGAUAAUUGGGAGGAAGGCGAGGAUGACGCCAAAUCAGCAUGGCCCUUGAUGACCUGGGCCGCACACGUGGUACAAUGGCCGGUACAAUGCGUACAAAGCCGCAAGGCGGAGAUUAAUCGCACCAAAGCCGGUCUCAGUUCGGAUUGAGGUCUGCAACCCGACCUCAUGAAGCUGGAAUUACUAGUAAUCGCCGAUCAGCUACGCGGCGAUGAAUACGUUCCUGAGUCUUGUACACACCGCCCGU